This 3064-nucleotide small RNA is filed under the name Pongo abelii (Sumatran orangutan). RNAcentral's name for it is "retained intron". The record is from RNAcentral. Lineage: Eukaryota; Metazoa; Chordata; Mammalia; Primates; Hominidae.
GGCCGCCGCUGGCGCUCAAGCAUGGCGGCGGCGGCGUUGGGCAGCUCCUCAGGCUCGGAGUCCCCGGCCGUGGCCGAGCUCUGCCAGAACACCCCGGAGACCUUUCUGGAGGCCUCCAAGCUGCUGCUCACCUAUGCUGACAACAUCCUCAGAAACCCUAAUGAUGAAAAAUAUAGAUCUAUCCGGAUUGGAAAUACAGCCUUUUCUACUAGACUCUUGCCUGUCAGAGGAGCUGUUGAAUGUUUAUUUGAAAUGGGCUUUGAAGAGGGAGAAACACAUCUCAUCUUUCCUAAAAAAGCUUCAGUGGAGCAGCUGCAAAAAAUUCGUGACCUGAUUGCCAUAGAGAGAAGUAGCAGAUUGGAUGGCUCAAAUAAGAGCCACAAAGUAAAGUCAUCUCAGCAACCUGCAGCCAGUACCCAGCUUCCUACAACACCGUCUUCAAAUCCCAGUGGGUUAAACCAGCACACAAGGAACCAUCAAGGGCAGUCAUCAGAUCCACCAUCUGCUUCAACGGUUACUGCUGAUUCAGCCAUUCUAGAAGUUCUUCAGUCCAACAUUCAGCAUGUGCUGGUCUAUGAAAAUCCUGCUCUUCAGGAGAAAGCGUUGGCUUGUAUUCCAGUCCAGGAACUAAAAAGGAAAUCACAAGAAAAGUUAUCAAGAGCUAGAAAAUUGGAUAAAGGUACCAAUAUAAGUGAUGAGGAUUUUCUUUUGCUGGAGCUUUUGCACUGGUUUAAGGAAGAAUUUUUUCAAUGGGUGAAUAACAUUUUGUGCAGCAAAUGUGGUGGACAGACUAGGUCUAGAGAUAGAUCAUUACUGCCCAAUGAUGAUGAGCUGAAGUGGGGUGCAAAGAAAGUGGAAGAUCAUUACUGUGAUGCCUGCCAGUUCAGCAAUCGAUUCCCAAGAUAUAAUAACCCUGAGAAACUUUUGGAAACAAGAUGUGGACGGUGUGGCGAGUGGGCCAAUUGUUUUACACUGUGCUGCCGAGCUUUAGGGUUUGAAGCUCGCUAUGUUUGGGAUUACACAGGUACAGAAUGUGGAAUGAGCAGAGGGUAGUAGGGCUUUGCAGGCUUACAGGUUUGGGUUUACAUUCUGAGUCCAUCAUUCUCUGUUACUUUUUGGCCUUGUCAGUCUGAUCUUCCAUUUGCCUUGUGUAAAACAGUAAUAAUACCAACCUUCCAGGUUUUUUGAAGGGAUCACAAGAGUUUUGUAAAACACCUAGCAUUGUGCCUGGUGCUUUGCACUAUAAAUAUUCCUUUUUUUCCCCUUUAUUUUAUUUGUAUUGAUGCAUAAUAGAUGUACAUAUUUGGGGGAUACUUGUAAUAAUUUAAUGCAUUUAUAUAAAUUCUACAGAGCAAAUGAGUAUUAUUGGGAUAUCUGAGAUCUUAAAUAUUUGUUGUUAUGUUGGAAACAUUUGAAUUACUCUCUUCUAGCUAUUAUGAAAUAUGCAGUAGAUUAUUGUAAACUGUAAACACCCUAUUGAUCUAUCAAACACUAGGUCUUAUUUCUUUUAUUAGCAAUUUACCGUGGCAUUUAUAGUGAUGCUAUUUAUAUAUGGAUAAAAACAUGUAAUAAUGUGCCAUAGAAAUCUUCAUUGCUAUAGGGAUUACUAUAAAAAAUUUAGUAAACUAUAAACUUAAAGCACAGUAUACAGAAAUAAUAAAAGUCAUGUGAUAUUUGUGUUGUCCCUAUUUAGAAAUGACUUGUGUGGUCUACAUGUUAAAAAGUUGUUUUCCUUGUGUUUCCAUUUUCUAAAGAAUUAAAUGAAACCUUCUAUUAAUAGUGUUCUCUUAAAAUCAAAUAUAAAGCAUAUAUUUACCAGAGAUUCUAUUAGACUUCCUGCUGGUUCUGGGCCUUAAAGUCCAGAGAGAGAGAGACUGUAGUUUCAAAAGUGUCAUUAAUUCCUUCAUGGUGGUAAACUCAGAAUGAUAUUUUUUAUGCUGCUGUUUAAUAUAUCUACCUUCUUAAGAGUUAUAGCGCACAUUAAGCCUAAAACUGACCACGUUAAAGGAGAUUGGAAAAACAUUUUUAAGGAUUUCAAAGAGACAGAAAUUAAUACAGGUAGUUGAUGUCACUUGGCGAUAUUCCUGCAAACAUGAAGAGGUGAUUGCCAGAAGAACUAAGGUUAAAGAAGCAUUACUUCGAGAAACUAUUAAUGGGCUUAAUAAGCAGAGGCAACUGUUUUUGUCAGAAAACAGAAGGAAAGAACUUCUCCAGAGGAUAAUUGUGGAGCUUGUUGAAUUUAUAUCUCCCAAAACCCCUAAACCUGGAGAACUUGGGGGAAGAAUAUCUGGGUCAGUGGCUUGGAGAGUAGCCCGAGGUGAAAUGGGUCUACAGAGAAAAGAAACCUCAUUUAUUCCCUGUGAAAAUGAGAAGAUUUCUAAACAGCUCCACCUUUGUUAUAAUAUUGUGAAAGAUUGUUAUGUUCGAGUUUCAAAUAACAAUGAAACCAUUUCUGGAUGGGAGAAUGGUGUGUGGAAAAUGGAAUCUAUAUUCAGAAAAGUUGAAACAGACUGGCACAUGGUAUAUUUGGCACGAAAGGAAGGAUCAUCUUUUUCUUAUAUUUCCUGGAAGUUUGAGUGUGGGUCUGUUCGCCUAAAAGUAGAUAGCAUUUCUAUUAGAACAAGUAGUCAAACUUUUCAGACUGGAACAAUAGAAUGGAAAUUGCGAUCUGAUACAGCACGAGUAGAACUGACAGGCGAUAACAGUCUUCACUCCUAUGCUGAUUUUUCUGGUGCCACUGAAGUUAUUUUGGAAGCAGAAUUAAGCAGAGGAGAUGGUGAUGUCGCUUGGCAACACACCCAGCUGUUUAGACAAAGCUUAAAUGACCAUGAAGAAGAUUGUUUGGAGAUAAUUAUAAAAUUCAGUGACCUUUGAGAACCUGAACAUUAUAGAAAAGCUGGCAAUAAUCAAGGACUUACUAAAGUAGUCUGUUGGUUCAGUGCAUGCUUAGUUGGCAGUUACCACCCUGUGCUAGCAUAUUUCUUUUGCUAGCUAUCCAUCAUGUAACCCUUAUGAAAAUUAUCUUUAUAUGUGGACUAUAAUAAAAUAUUGAAUUAAAAACUUU